This 329-nucleotide ribosomal RNA is filed under the name uncultured eukaryote. Its description in RNAcentral is "bacterial SSU rRNA". It matches the Rfam family "Eukaryotic small subunit ribosomal RNA", at positions 592 to 926 of the family's 1831-position model. The record is from RNAcentral.
CAGGAGUGUAUAUUAAAGUUGCUGCGGUUAAAAGCUCGUAGUUGAAUUCCUGCCAAGGCUGACUGGUCCGCCCUUUGGUGAGCAUCUGGUUCGGCAGGAGCAUAUUCUUGGGAAGUGCGUCUUCACUUGAUUGUGUGGUGUGAUGCCCAGGGUUUUACCUUGAGGAAAUUAGAGUGUUUCAAGCAGGAUCAUGCCUUGGAUACAGUAGCAUGGAAUAGCGAUUGAACAUCUUGGUUGUAUUUUGUUGGCGUCUAUGCCUAAGGUGAUGAUUGAAAAGGGAUACUUGAGGACAUACGAAUUUAACUGCCCAGAGGUGAAAUUCUUGGACU